GGGCCUCUAGCUCAAUUGGCAGAGCAACGGACUUUUAAUCCGUGGGUUCAGGGUUCGAGCCCCUGGGGGCCUA
Molecule: transfer RNA, 73 nt
Organism: Nocardiopsis flavescens
Lineage: Bacteria; Bacillati; Actinomycetota; Actinomycetes; Streptosporangiales; Nocardiopsidaceae
Rfam family: tRNA
About the family: Transfer RNA (tRNA) molecules are approximately 80 nucleotides in length.
Source: Rfam